AUGAUGUGCGGUUUCAAUACUACUAGGUGUGAGGAGGUUAGCCUUGAUGGGCAGGUGGUGCCUCAGAAGGACACCUUUCGAUAUUUGGGGUCAAUGCUGCAGGAGGAUGGGGGUAUUGAUGAAGGUGUGAACCAUCGAAUCAAAGCCGGAUGGAUGAAUUGGCGCCAAGCUUCUAGCAUUCUCUAUGAUAAGAGAGUGCCACAAAAGCUAAAAGGCAAGUUCUACAGGACGGCGGUUCGACCCGCAAUGUUGUAUGGCGCCGAGUGUUGCCCGACUAAAAGGCGACAUGUUCAACAGUUAGGUGUAGCGGAGAUGCGCAUGUUGAGAUGGAUGUGUGGCCACAUAGGAAAGGAUCGGGUAUGGAAUGAUGUUAUAUGGGAUUGGGGUAGCACCGAUUGA
Molecule: ribosomal RNA, 399 nt
Filed under: Triticum aestivum (bread wheat)
Lineage: Eukaryota; Viridiplantae; Streptophyta; Magnoliopsida; Poales; Poaceae
Description: partial small subunit ribosomal RNA
Source: RNAcentral